Tupaia belangeri chinensis (Chinese tree shrew) is the source of this 3462-nucleotide long non-coding RNA. RefSeq lists it as uncharacterized. Lineage: Eukaryota; Metazoa; Chordata; Mammalia; Scandentia; Tupaiidae. The record is from RefSeq and is a predicted model, not a curated record. The transcript has 8 exons.
AAGAAAAUCUUGGGAACACACAUACAUGCACCUGAUGGAGUCCAUACAGCUAACACAGGCAGAACAAGGUGCGCUGCCUCUCAUGUCUGUGCAAGGCUUGGCUGAGAAGAAGCUGCAAGCAGGGCUGGAACCAUGAGUUCAAGUAUCCCAGUUACAUCUCCUCUGCCAUAGCCAUCAAGGAACUCUGAGAAAGGACUACCACUGGCCCUAGCCUCACCCAUAUCAAGCUAGCUUCCCCCAUCCCAUUGUCCUGUCCUUUUGACAGACUGGCCUGUGCCAGGAGUGUCCCAGUUUCAUCUACUGCAUAAUGGCCAGCAAGGAACUUUGAGGCAGGGCCACCACUGCCAUAGACCCAUCAAGCUCCAACUAGCUUCCCCUGCGCCAUUGCCCAGGCCUUCAGCCAGACUGGCCUCAGCUUGCUCACUGGCAGUGUUCCAGUUUCAUCUGCAGCCCUGUGUUCUGCAAGGGACUCUAAGGCAGUGCCACCACCAGCUCUAUCACCACUCAGUUCCAGAUAGCUUCUCCAUCCCAUUGCCCUAUACUUUACCAAGACUGGCCACUGCUUGCUAGCCAACAAUAUCCCAUUUUUAUCUACUUUCUAUGGCCAGCAAGGGACACUGACCCAGGAAAACCACUGGCCCUAGCCUCAUUCAGCUUCAGCUAGCAUAAACCAUCCCAUUGCCCAAUCAUUUCAAUAGCAAUGAUCCAGUUUCAACUACUGUCCCAUGACCAGCAAAGGACUUUGAGGCUGUGCCACCAUUGAUCCUGGCUUCUCAGCUCCAUGUAGAUACCCCAUCCUCUUGCCCAGUCCUUCAUCCAGACUGGUCACUACUUGCUCACCAGCAGCAUCCCAGUUUUAUCUACUGCCCCGUGGCAGGCAAGGAACUCUCAGGCAAGUCCAUCGCUGGCCCUAGCCCCACCCAGUUCCAGCUUGGUUACCCCAUUCCAUUGUGCUAUCCUUCAGCAAGGGCUCAUCUCUCUUUUGGAGUCUGUUUUACCCACCAGCUGACCUACGACAACUGUCAGCAACUUCUCCAGACUUUAUUCACAUCAGAGAAAAGAGAAUAAAUCAAGGUGGAAUCUUGGAAACUUGUUCUGGGUCCAGAUGGUUAGAUCAACACAAAUUAUGGUAAGGAGGCUGUCAAUGGGUAUUGCUAGCCUCCACUGAGCAGGGUUAGAGUAGUGCUAGGGAAGCCCAUCAACCUAAGGCAUGCAGUGUCCAAGGAAGUCUCCCACGGCCUUUCUAGAGAGAUUCUUUGGGGCCUAUCAGCACUAUACUCCCAUGAACUUGGAGUCCCCAGAGAACAGGUGAGCAAUGAGCAUCUCAUUCUGACCCAGUUAGCCCCAGACAUUAGGAGAAAACUACAAAAGUUAGAGGGAUUUGAGGGAAAAGUAUUAUUCAAACUUGUGGAGAUAGCUCAGAAAGUCUUCAAUAACUGACAGGACAUAGAGACUGUCUAAACUCAAAAGAUAAUACAAAAUCAAGAAGGUCCACAUGGCAGGGACAGGGAGGUCAAGGAACCACCGAGCAGAAAACUGAGAUGACCCAAUCUGGGAAAAUGUAGACAAUCUCUUUCUGGCAGCUGAGACAAGGGACCAAUGCCUCCAGGCCACACAGUCCCUGCUGUAGACUCUGGCAGACCUCAAGUAUUAAGGUUCAGCCAAGAAGACCCAGCUCUGCACCCCUCAGGCCACAUAUCUGGGAUACAUUCUGGAGGGAGGUAAGUAGGUAAGUGGACUCUCUUCAGGCCACAUCCAAGCCAUCUUGAACAUCCUCACUCUGACCACAAAGCAACAGGUGCAAGAGUUCUUUGGUGUCAUGGAUAUUGCCACCUCUGGAUUCUGGACUGUCCAAAUAGCCAGAUCCCUUUAUACCAUGAUGUGGUGAGGAAAGGAUAUAGACUGGAGUGGGAUGAAGGUAUAGGAAUGAGCUUUCCAGACCCUGAAGACUGCUUUGGAGAGUAACCAGCUUUAGGCCUCCCUUAUAUCUCAAACUCAUUCCAACCAUACAUUGCUGAGUCAAAGGGCAUCUUGAAAAGGGUCCUAAUGCAAACUCUGGGACAAUGAAAGUGGCCUAUGGCCUACUUAUCCAAGAGGCUAGAUUCAAUGGCAUCACAAUGGCUAAAUUGCCUUCACAAACAGGGUAGCCACAGAUGUUGUUCUAAAGCCAGUGGGACCCCUGCAAAUCUUCUCCAGGAUUCCUCCUUGAACCUUUGCUGAAAAGCCCAGAUACACUCUGGAGGAAAGAAGAAUUAGUCAAUGCCCUAGGUGCCAUAGAUCAACCUGAGGGAUGGAAAGACCUGCUUGAUGGAUGGGUGACUCUCUUCCCAGAAGCUCUAGGAUAUGGCCUCAUCUCCUUAAUCCAUCAGAACACUUGUCUAAAGAAACAAAGGUAAUAGGACUUCUCAAGAGGGACUAUCAUUUUCCUGGACUGGCAAACAUUGCCAAAGACACAGCUAGAAGAUGUCCCAUCUGUGCUCAAGUAGACCAUGGAAAGUCAGUUCCUUAAUACUAUGAGACCCAACUUUGAGGACAGAACCCUGAAGAACACUGAAAAGUAGAUUUCACUGAACUCUUUUGUGGGUUGGCAGGAUACCACUACCUGCUGGUGUUCAUAGAAACUUUCUCUGGUUAGCCAGAGGCAUACCCCACCAAGUCCAAGACAGCACAGGUAGUUGCUUAAUUAUUGUCUAAAAUUGUCCCACAUUUUGGGUUAUAACAAUAACUCUGGGGUCCAACAAUGGCCUGGCAUGUUACUCAGUUAUUGGCAAAAUCUUCACUCUGUCUAUCAACCUCAGAAUUCUAGACAAGUAGAGAAAAUAAAUAGGAUGCUUAAAAAGGCUUUAACCAAGUUGAAAUUGGAGACUGGUUAAAAACUGGGUGAGUCUUCUUCCAUUGCCCUUCUGUGUGCACAUUGCACCCCUUAUGUGUAGGAGUGAUUCUCUUUAAAAUAAUAUUUGAAAAAAAACAAUUUUGAAAGGAUGCCUCCACUUGUACUCAAGAUUGAUGAGGAGAUAAAAGGGGAACUUUAUAACCAUGCCCUUUUGAAGUCCCUGCAAGCACUAUAGAUAUCAGAAACAGACACAACACCUUCUCCAGGAAGCUUACCAGCCUUUAGGUCUUCAACCUAGCUGACGCCCACUGGUGACCUACAGCCUGGGGACUUGAUCUGAAUCUGAAAGCAAGAACCUUUCUCACUGGAGACCUGUUAGACUGUCAUCCUGACUAUGCCAAUUAUAGUCAAGUUGCCAGAGAGCGACGUUGGAUUCACCACACCCAAGUAAAAAGGAUGACCCUCAUUGGGACUGACAAAUGACACAUCCCCCUGCAUAAGUUCUAGGUUGUUUCAGAACUCUGAGUUUCCCCCACACUUUUGGACUUUAAUCCACAGCCUGUUACUCUGGGGAGGGAGGCCAAAAGAAAACAAAACUCUAAAGGCCCUCUCAGCCCAGGAAAAGAAAA